Molecule: ribosomal RNA, 304 nt
Filed under: uncultured bacterium
Lineage: Bacteria
Description: partial 16S ribosomal RNA
Rfam family: Bacterial small subunit ribosomal RNA
Source: RNAcentral
CAGCAGUCGCCGCGGUAAUACGAAGGGGGCUAGCGUUGCUCGGAAUUACUGGGCGUAAAGGGAGCGUAGGCGGAUCGUUAAGUUGGGGGUGAAAGCCCGGGGCUCAACCUCGGAAUUGCCUUCAAUACUGGCGAUCUUGAGUAUGGAAGAGGUAUGUGGAACUCCGAGUGUAGAGGUGAAAUUCGUAGAUAUUCGGAAGAACACCAGUGGCGAAGGCGACAUACUGGUCCAUUACUGACGCUGAGGCUCGAAAGCGUGGGGAGCAAACAGGAUUAGAUACCCCAGUAGUCCCUGUCUCUUAUAC